Ruditapes philippinarum (Manila clam) is the source of this 384-nucleotide long non-coding RNA. RefSeq lists it as uncharacterized. The transcript has 2 exons. The record is from RefSeq and is a predicted model, not a curated record. Lineage: Eukaryota; Metazoa; Mollusca; Bivalvia; Venerida; Veneridae.
UUAUCUUCAGAAAACUGAAAGCUAUUCAGGGUCAGAUAUACAACUUGUAUGUAAGGAGGCUGCCAUGAGACCUGUCAGAAAAAUAUUUGAUGCACUGGAAAAUCACUCAGAAGGUAAAGAUCUUCACAUUCGGCUGGAUACUAUAGUCACAACAGAUGUACUGAAAGCAUUAGAGCGUACUAAACCAUCUGGUAGAGCUAUGAAGGACAAAUAUGCUGCCUGGCAGAGAGAAUACGAGAGUGUCUGAUAUCUAGUACAACUAGAAACCCGUACUAAUAUAUAUCUGUGUAGGUGUUUAUCCCGAUAGUGCACAGCACAUUGUGUCAAGUGUUAACUGCUGUAUAAAAAACAUUGAUAUCCGUCCACAUUGAUAUCCAUCCACAU